Molecule: long non-coding RNA, 2714 nt
Organism: Pungitius pungitius (ninespine stickleback)
Lineage: Eukaryota; Metazoa; Chordata; Actinopteri; Perciformes; Gasterosteidae
Exons: 3
Source: RefSeq, a predicted model, not a curated record
UUGGGUUGUAUCUUGGAAUGAUUGUAUUUUAUUUGUGUGUUUGUUAUUGUAGUUAAUGUUGAGCAUGUUUAAACAUUGUAUUAAUUGAAGGGAUAGUACUCCAAUCAAAAAAGAGGGAGAGAAGAAGAAGAGGAAGAGGGACGAAAAAGAGGGAGAGAAGAAGAAGAAGGAAAAACACGAGAAAAGAGGAGAGAAGAAGAAGGGGAUACGAAGAAGGAUGACGGACAACAACAAGACAGCGUAAAGUGAGAUAGUAGAGGGAUUGACGAGCGGAACGGCGAGUGACUCUCCACUAGAAAAGACAGCAAUAUCUGCACGAUUUGCGCUACGUUGGUUUUGUUUUGUGUAACGGAUCUCGGAUAGAGAUCCGCGCCGUUUAUAGGACCGCGGCGGCAAUAGCGGAGUGAGCCAGGCUUUAGCUUGGGAGAUCCGGACCUGCACGAGAGGGAGAGAGAGUAUCCAACCCGGCCACUCUUUUAACCAUCGGUUCGCGGAUCCGGAGGAACCAACACCGCUACGGACGUCUGCGACGACAGCCCCGAUUCCGACUCGCCAACACCGUGAGGAGGACGAAAACACCUUCAGGUUAUCCAGGAUGGCUGGACCUGCUGCAACUACGUAUCGAGGGAAACCAGUCCCACUGAGCACUGGGGGAAACCAAUCCACCCCACAACUGUGGAGUCUCCAUGAACACGAGGCACAGCAGGACCCAGUAGAGGUCCACAUGGAGGUUCGAGUUAACUGGACUGGACCGUGAUGUCAUCGUCAGCCUGGUGUUCUGGUCCCUGAAGUUCAGCUGCAACGCUGAAGGCCCCCUUCCAAUGUGUUGGAUGUCUUUGUACAAACUCCAGUAAAUGCCUGUGUAACCAGCUGCAUGAUGCAGGGGGAAGUUAAAUAAAUGCUGAUUAAGCAUAGAUUUGAAAUCUGUGUUGAAUUGCAUUCUCAUUUCCCAAACUGUUUCGCAUGAAUAAAAAGAUCAACACAAAAGUAAAAAUAAUGAUAAUGACAGCGCAAAAAACUCCCGGUUGUUGUGAAUUUGUGACGUUAAAAUGAGCAGUGAGGCUGGCGCUGCAAAGAAAAAAAAGAUUGUGCUAGCACCCCCCCUCCCGCGUCGACCGCUAGCACCCCCCACACUGUCAGCGAAAGUGUCCCUGAUUUGGGGUUGCGAAAGUUGGCAACCCUAUGUGUGCCCCGUCUUUGACGCGCUGCGCCGACCGUCCUCUGCUGCCUCUUCCUCUGGCUCCAAGGGUUAGCCCAUCAGUGGGAGCGAGGUAACGUUUAAGUACCUUCAGUUUAAUACACUCAUGUGUAAAUGUUUUUGUGAGGUUUCAAAAAUAAAGCUCUCUUGAGGAAAGUGUACCCCUGUUAAAAUAUACUCAUAAUUUAUAAUGUUUAUUCAAUAUUCAGCAGUGCUGUGAUCGAUUGCUUAUGUCUCGCUCCUCCACUUGACCAAUCCUGCUCAAGAAUGAGGUUCGGACCGCCUGAGCUCAUUUACAUACAGACACAGAAAUACAGGCAUAAGUAAAUGAACAAAUAGAGAAAUGUAGAAAUCAAUUCAUUUAAUUAUGUUCUGUUUAAUGUAUUAAUAUAAGUUUACACCUAAUGUAUUUAUUAUUUUAUAUAAGCAUUUAUUUAUACGUGUAUUUACGCAUUUAUUCAUUUAUUUAUUUAUACUUAAGUCAUUUUUUGUCCUCCAUAUGCCUCUGCCUGCACGCACCAGCCCUGACAAUUAAUGCGCUAAGAGGACACAUAUUAGAAUCUCAGGCCUUUCAAAUAGAAACGGCUCAAUCCAAAAUUGUGUUUUCAAAAUUCACAAUGAGUCAGGAAAUUUGUACUUGUACUGAAAGUGAAGGGUUUUGAACAGACAUUGAAAACUCAACCAAACCAUUUCAUUUUGUUUGUCAUUGUUGAACCAUCCAAGACAUCGCCACAGAACAUGUAUUUAAUCUUUAUGUAUGGUCUUGGAAAAAUAGAUAAGACAGAAAAUCAGAUAGUGUAUUAGUCUGUGGACAUUGUUGAGCCACAUGUUGCAUUUACACCCUGCUAAAAACUGUUUGUGGCGUUCCUGUGCUAGACGUAGAUGAAGCCUUGGCACAGAGCGGCUCACAAUGCGUAAUUACUGCCACAGUCACUCAUACACAUUAAAACUCAUCAAACUGAUCUUACUGCUGUGAUGGAAAACUACUCAGAUCCUGUGCAGCAUGGAAUCACAGUUCCAAUUUGGGUUGACUCUUUUUUAUUUUAACAACAAGAGUGUGUUUGGUUGGGCGCAGAGCAGACACACCAGCUGCUCUUCUGUUUUGUUUUCUGACAGAGUAGUUACUCAGAAAGGGUGUUUAUCGUUGUGUUUAAAUACCUUGUUGCCACAGUACCAACAUUUGUCGCCGAAUCACUGAGGAGAUUAAAAAUUACGAAUCACUGAGGAGAUUAAAAAGAGAUUACAAUUUACAAAAAUCUAACUUGUUUUGAAACUGUCUUAUCUUAAUAUUAAAUAGAAAAUAGGGAGCUUCUACACAGUUAUUCUGUGAUUUUGUGAAAGAGACAAAAAAAGAUGAUAUAUUAAUAAAUGAUAUGUGAUUACAAAGUCUUCAGAGUCUUUGGAGUUAAUACUCUACAGGGAGAUAAACACACUAGACUAGACUACUGCUACACUGUAAUACACAAUGCAUACCUCUCCGUCCCCCCUUGCAGCCUUGGGACUCUUGAUCACUUCA